RNAcentral lists this ribosomal RNA (407 nucleotides) under uncultured microorganism. Its description in RNAcentral is "bacterial SSU rRNA". It matches the Rfam family "Bacterial small subunit ribosomal RNA", at positions 509 to 917 of the family's 1533-position model. The record is from RNAcentral.
CAGCCGCCGCGGUAAUACGUAGGGGGCGAGCGUUACCCGGAUUCACUGGGCGUAAAGGGGGUGUAGGCGGCUCGGUAAGUCGGGUGUGAAAUCCCACGGCUCAACCGUGGAAUUGCGCCCGAAACUGCCGAGCUUGGGGCCGGUAGAGGGAGACGGAACUGCCGGUGUAGGGGUGAAAUCCGUAGAUAUCGGCAGGAACGCCGGUGGGGAAGCCGGUCUCCUGGGCCGCGCCCGACGCUGAGGCCCGAAAGCUAGGGGAGAAAACCGGAUUAGAUCCCCGGGUAGUCCACGCCGUAAACGGUGGGCACUAGGUGUGGGGGGUUAAUCCCUCCGUGCCGAAGCUAACGCAUUAAGUGCCCCGCCUGGGGAGUACGGCCGCAAGGUUGAAACUUAAAGGAAUUGGCGGG